This 253-nucleotide ribosomal RNA is filed under the name uncultured bacterium. RNAcentral describes it as "partial 16S ribosomal RNA". It matches the Rfam family "Bacterial small subunit ribosomal RNA", at positions 524 to 776 of the family's 1533-position model. The record is from RNAcentral.
UACGUAUGGGGCAAGCGUUAUCCGGAUUUACUGGGUGUAAAGGGAGCGUAGACGGCAUGGCAAGUCUGAUGUGAAAGCCCAGGGCUCAACCCUGGGACUGCAUUGGAAACUGUCUAGCUAGAGUGCGGGAGAGGUAAGUGGAAUUCCUAGUGUAGCGGUGAAAUGCGUAGAUAUUAGGAGGAACACCAGUGGCGAAGGCGGCUUACUGGACCGUAACUGACGUUGAGGCUCGAAAGCGUGGGGAGCAAACAGG